AGAGAAAGAAAGAUGCUAAGAAACCAAGGGGGAAGGAAGAAAAGGAAGAGAGAGAGCCUUGUGGGUUAUUAAAACUCAAGCUAAAAAUUAUGGAAAAUUCAUCAUGAGGUCACGCGCUAUUGUCUGCCUAAUUUAUCUGAUAUGUCCAGUCCGUCUGAUUUGCUUCUGCGGCUAUCUGUGAUCAGGCGCGUGACCAGGCUUAGAGGCAUCUGCCAAGAAUCUGUUUUUGUCAGCCAACCUAUGUGCCUCCCGUGGAGGUUCCGGAUACGUUAAGUGAUUAUGGCUAUGUGAUUUAAAGCUUAAGUUUUGUUUUCGUGUUUGGUUGAACAAGUCUUGUGUAUUUUGUAAAUAGGGCCAAGUCCCUUUUUGUCUAAUCUGCAUAUAUAUAAUGACUUAAAGAUAAUGUGUAUAUAUGUAUACAAAAAUUUUAAAUUUUUUUUGUCUCAUAUAAGUCUGCACA
Molecule: non-coding RNA, 460 nt
Organism: Camellia sinensis
Lineage: Eukaryota; Viridiplantae; Streptophyta; Magnoliopsida; Ericales; Theaceae
Source: RefSeq, a predicted model, not a curated record